This is a long non-coding RNA of Gossypium raimondii (Peruvian cotton), 722 nucleotides long. RefSeq lists it as uncharacterized. The record is from RefSeq and is a predicted model, not a curated record. NCBI's taxonomy places the organism in Eukaryota, Viridiplantae, Streptophyta, Magnoliopsida, Malvales, Malvaceae. The transcript has 2 exons.
CUCCUCCUUGUUCUUGGGUUGGUGCCAAUAUUCAAUGCUUACCAUACCCUUUUCAUGUCUCUCUCUCUCUCAUUCAUUGAUGAGAAUCUCUUAAAUUCACUCUACCAAAGAGCAUAAGAUCCCCACCUAUGAAUGCGUCUUCUCUUCAUUACCCUAUAACCUAUUCUUCUUUCACGAGUCUUAAAACCCUUUCUUCUUCAUCAUGUUCUAUGACCAUCACUUCAAGUUGAAGGAUGUCUAUAUAGUAGGGCAUGAGUUUGAGGUAAACCAAAAUUAAUACCGAACAUUACCUCCAUUAAGGGUCCGAGACUGUCCCAUUGAGCGAGCUACCCUCAACAGGUAUAUAUACACACACCCUUUUUUCUCUUAAACCUGCAAUGGAUUAUUAGGCUAUUAGACUCUCUUUUUUGGCCAUAUAUACAAAAUGAUUAUAAUCUAAACCCUCUCUCUUUUGAUAAGAUUUUGAAUAUGCAGGCUUUAUAUUGUGUAGUAUAUGUAUAUAUAUCAUGUGUGGAGUUGCAUGCAGAGCUUUCAUGGUGGUUUUAAGUGGGGGUGCAUCAUACCUCAAGGAGAAAAAAGGACCAUUUCAAAGUUACUGAGAUUUUUUUCUAGAAGGCAAUUAGAGCGGUAGAGUAGUAGGUAGGAUAAAUAUUUUCUAGUGUAAAAGGUUUACAACUUUUUUGACAAAUUGAUAUGGGCAGUUUGACAAGGCUUCUUUAUAA